Vespula pensylvanica (western yellowjacket) is the source of this 2350-nucleotide long non-coding RNA. RefSeq lists it as uncharacterized. The record is from RefSeq and is a predicted model, not a curated record. Lineage: Eukaryota; Metazoa; Arthropoda; Insecta; Hymenoptera; Vespidae. The transcript has 10 exons.
AAAACAGCGAGGAAUUCAUUUUCAUCUAACAACUUGUCGAGCAUCUUCUUGUUAACUUCUUCGAUUUCAUUCUUUAUCUCAAAAACAUCUUGGGAAGUGAGCCAUUGUAAAAUUUUAUCUUCUUGGUUUCAGUACUCGAUAUCUUUACAAAAUCGAUUCCAAAAAGAUCAGCUUCACCGUCGAUCUUCUCCAAUGCUUCCAUAAUUUCGUCGCACUCUGCACAAUCUUCGUCGUCUAUCAUUUGUCGUUAAGGUAUCAAACACACUCACAAAAGAAGACUGCCAGAAAUGGCGACUCGUCCAAUAGUCUCUCUAACAUUCUUUCGUUGACAGAUUCAAUCUCAUCAGCCAAUUCACGAUUUUCAUCAUCGAUCAACCAUUCCAAAACUGACUCCUCGUUUUGGAGAUCUCCUAGAAUAUAUAAGAAAAUUUAUAUUUAACCUCGGCAUUCUAUAGUAUAGGAUGUUAAUAAGAGAAGUAAGGAAAUCGUCAGAGAGAGAGAGAGAGAGAGAGAGAGAGAGAGAAAGAGUGUGCGAGACAGAGAGAGAAAGAGAAAGAGAAAAAGAGAGACCUUCGAACAAAAGAGGAUUGCCAUUACGAAAGUAAACUAGAGCAGGAAAAGUUUUAAUGGAAUAUCUUUUCGCUAGUUGUGGAUCUUGAAUCUUAACCAAGUGUAUACCAAAGACGUCACAUUCGUCGUCGACUCUUUCUAAACCUUCUAAUAUUUCGUCGCAUAUGUGACAGUUUUGCUUGUCUGAAAUAGAUACGAAAAUAUCUUUUGUUUUAUCGUUGAACGCUCAGUUGUAAGUUCAAAGGAAAUCUUACAGAAAUAAACAGCAAGAUACUGUGUUUCUUCAACAAAGGCUUCCAACAUCACUCGAGUUAUCAGUUCAAUGCGAUCCUCAGUUUUCUGUGUGAUCAGCCACUGCAAUACUUCCUCUUCUACGGCCAAGUCUCCUGUAAUAGAAAGUAAGGAAAUUUUGGAAAAUAAGUUGAUAGAAAACUUAUUAUUAGAGGAAUAUAUAAUGCAAACCUUCGAAUACAUUGGGUAUUUGAUUUUCAAAAUAAACGAGGACUGGAAAAUCAGUAACGCCGUAAUCCUCUGCCACUUUGUGAUCCUACAAGUGAUGAACACAAAUCUGUGAUUUUACGUUCAAGAAGAAUUAUGUUCAAAAGUAAAUUAUAGGAUUCCAGUGCAUUGUUCGCAAUUGUCGAGAUCUAAAUAAGAAUAAAAUUAUUGAAACAUAUUUAAUGAUAUUAACGGAAGAUUAAUAUUUCUAAUCGAGGAGAUGAUGGCAUUUUAUUUUCAUUAUAAGAAAAGGAAAAAAAAAAAGAAAGAAAGAAAAUGGAUUAUAUUUUUGACGUUGCUUGCGAUUGUGCAUGCCAUUGAAGAGCUAAGUUAUAUCUACCGUGCAAAGAGAUAUAUAAAUGACUUACAGAAAUAUACGGCCAAGGAUUCGGAUUCUCGAAUUAGAUUCAGAAGUUCUUCUCCAUCCAAAACUUCGAUUGCCUCGCCCGAUGGAUCCUUUUGCGUCAUUAACCAUUGCAAAAUCUGUUCUUCGUCGUAGAGAUCUCCUGCGAUGGCAUACAAAUAGUAUAAGAUUAACAGCAAAUAUCACCGGUUCUUUCGAUGUCAGUUUGAAAAAAAGUAUUCCUGGUAAUGCAAAUACUCCGUAAUGUUUGGCAAGUUCCUUGUCGUCGAUCUUCACAAAUUUGAUUCCGGCACUAUCAGCUUCGUCGUCAAUAUGCUCGAUCUCUGCCAGAACUCUACUACAUUGUUUACAGUCGGUGCUGUCUAAACACACACAUAUAGUGAUCAAAUUGGAUCGGUUAACCAAUCAAGGAUCUCUUCCUCGUCGUCUAUAUCACCAUCGUAAUUCGUACUUUUACCUUUUCGGAAAUAAGUUAUACCAGCAGCUUCGUCGUCGAUCAACUCGACGUGCCGGAGUACUCGAGGACUUUCUGGAUCUUCUUCUUUGUCUGUGAAUAAUACGUUCGAGAAGAAAGGCAGAGGAAUAUGUAUUUAUUGUCUUAACAACGUUCACAAAGAUCAACGUUUGAAUAUAAUGGAAGAAAGAGAAGCCCCAUUUUUUCACAUGCGAACGGUUUGUGUCCCAUAUUAAAUUUUCUUCGAUACCUCUACGACCACGAUUCUACGUCUUGGUAAUUAUUAAAUCACUGUCCAUCGCAAGUUAACGAGUGUUGCUAAAGAUUAAUGGAUUCGGCGAUGCACUUGGACAACGAUUUAAUUUCUCAUCUACUAGCUGUGCCAAUUGAAUUAUUUACCGCUUCCGAAAAAUCCUCUUUUGGCCUUCGAAUGGGAUUGCUUGACUUCGGUAGUUGGACUGCUG